AAAAAACCUACUAAAAUCUCUUGCUCUUCAUAUUCCCCAAAGAAAAAAUUGUCCUAAAAUUUCCCAAAGAUUCUUCCUUUAAGAAUCUUUUUAUCACUUGUUAAACUUCCAAAAAUUUGUUUUUUAUAGUUUUAAAACUCAAGAUUUAGCUGUGGGGUUGCUGGGAAUCCAUUGAAGAAGCUAUGGUGAAGGAGGAUAGCAAUGUUUUGGACCUGUUCUUGAAAAUUGGGUUGGAUGAAAAAACUGCUAAAAAUACUUUGGCAAACAAUAAAGUCACCACUAAUCUCACUGCUGUUAUUCACGAGGCAGCUGUGACAGAUGGUUGUGACCGAGCUGUGGGCAACCUGUUGUAUACGGUUGCUACAAAAUUUCCAGCCAAUGCACUUAACCAUCGGCCCACAUUGCUUCAGUACAUUGUAUCUACAAAGAUUAAAACCCCUGCGCAGUUAGAAGCUGCAUUUGCCUUUCUUGCUUCGACCGCCUCUGAAAAUCUGAAGGUCCAUGAUUUUGAAGAGGCUUGUGGUGUUGGAGUUGAGGUAUCCAAGGAUGAUAUUGAACGUGCUGUCAGUGAGGUCUUUGAAGAGAAGAAGACCAAUAUACUAGAACAGCGUUAUAGAAUCAAUGUUGGUGAACUCUUUGGUCAUGUGCGGAAGAAGUUGCCGUGGGCAGAUCCGAAAGUGGUCAAGGAAGUAGUUGAUCUGGAGCUGUAUAAAUUACUUGGGGAAAGAACUGCCGCAGAUAAUGAAAAGCCUGUUAAAAAGAAGAAAGAGAAGCCUGCAAAAACUGAGGCUAAAGCAAAAGUUGAGGAGACCUCUGCACCUAAGCAGUCUGAAGAAGAACUAAACCCAUACUUGAUCUUCCCCACACCGGAGGAAAAUUUUAAGGUGCAUACAGAAGUAUAUUUCAGUGACCGGCCUGUGCUCCGAGCGUGUAAUUCCAAAGAACUACUUGAAAAGCAUUUGAAAGUGACUGGAGGAAAAGUUCUGACGCGCUUUCCACCUGAACCUAAUGGAUUCUUACACAUUGGACAUGCGAAGGCUAUGUUUGUGGACUUUGGUCUGGCAAAAGAAAGAGGUGGUGGCUGUUACUUGAGGUUUGAUGAUACCAACCCUGAAGCUGAGAAGAAAGAGUACAUCGAUCAUAUCAAAGAAAUUGUUGGGUGGAUGGGAUGGGAGCCUUUCAAGAUCACUUACACUAGUGAUUAUUUCCAAGACCUUUAUGAGCUGGCGGUAGAGUUGAUAAGAAGAGGCCAUGCAUAUGUUGACCACCAGACAGCUGACGAGGUAAAAGAAUAUCGGGAGAAGAAGAUGAACAGCCCUUGGAGAGAUAGGCCUAUAGAAGAGUCCUUAAGAUUGUUUGAUGAAAUGAAGAAGGGGAUGAUUGAUGAAGGCAAAGCGACAUUGAGGAUGAAACAGGACAUGCAGAAUGACAAUUUCAAUAUGUAUGACCUCAUUGCAUACCGUAUCAAGUUCACUCCUCAUCCGCAUGCAGGGGAUAAAUGGUGCAUCUACCCAAGUUAUGAUUACGCCCAUUGCAUUGUUGAUUCUUUGGAAAAUAUCACUCAUUCGCUUUGCACCCUGGAGUUUGAAACCCGCCGUGCAUCAUAUUACUGGUUGUUGGAUGCCUUAAGCCUUUACCAGCCUUUUGUUUGGGAAUACUCACGGUUGAAUGUGUCUAACACUGUGAUGUCAAAGCGUAAAUUGAACCGUCUUGUAACAGAGAACUGGGUUGAUGGCUGGGAUGAUCCUCGUCUCAUGACAUUAGCAGGAUUGCGACGUAGAGGGGUAACUUCAACAGCAAUAAAUGCUUUUGUUCGUGGGAUUGGAAUAACUAGAAGUGACUCUAGUAUGAUACAGCUAAGUCGCCUGGAAUACC
Molecule: unclassified non-coding RNA, 1875 nt
Filed under: Hevea brasiliensis (rubber tree)
Lineage: Eukaryota; Viridiplantae; Streptophyta; Magnoliopsida; Malpighiales; Euphorbiaceae
Source: RNAcentral